RNAcentral lists this ribosomal RNA (465 nucleotides) under uncultured bacterium. RNAcentral describes it as "partial 16S ribosomal RNA". It matches the Rfam family "Bacterial small subunit ribosomal RNA", at positions 29 to 507 of the family's 1533-position model. The record is from RNAcentral.
ACGGACGCUGGCGGCGUGCUUAACACAUGCAAGUCGAACGGAAAGGCCCUGCUUGCCGGGUACUCGAGUGGCGAACGGGUGAGUAACACGUGGGUGAUCUGCCCUGCACUUCGGGAUAAGCUUUGGAAACUGGGUCUAAUACCGGAUAGGAGCCAUCUUUAGUGUGGUGGUUGGAAAGUUUUUUCGGUGUAGGAUGAGCUCGCGGCCUAUCAGCUUGUUGGUGGGGUAAUGGCCUACCAAGGCGGCGACGGGUAGCCGGCCUGAGAGGGUGUACGGCCACAUUGGGACUGAGAUACGGCCCAGACUCCUACGGGAGGCAGCAGUGGGGAAUAUUGCACAAUGGGCGCAAGCCUGAUGCAGCGACGCCGCGUGGGGGAUGAAGGCCUUCGGGUUGUAAACUCCUUUCGCUAGGGACGAAGCUUUUUUGUGACGGUACCUAGAUAAGAAGCACCGGCUAACUACGUG